CCUACGGGUGGCAGCAGUGAGGAAUAUUGGUCAAUGGGCGGGAGCCUGAACCAGCCAAGCCGCGUGAGGGAAGAAGGUACAGCGUAUCGUAAACCUCUUUUGUCAGGGAACAAAGGCGGGGACUAGGCCCCGGAUGAGGGUACCUGAAGAAAAAGCAUCGGCUAACUCCGUGCCAGCAGCCGCGGUAAUACGGAGGAUGCGAGCGUGAGCCGGAUUUAUUGGGCUUAGAGGGUGCGCAGGCGGCCUGUUAAGUCAGCGGUAAAAGCCCGGGGCUCAACCCCGGCGAGCCGUUGAAACUGGCGGGCUGGAGUUGGAGAGAAGUACGCGGAAUGCGCGGUGUAGCGGUGAAAUGCAUAGAUAUCACGCAGAACUCCGAUUGCGAAGGCAGCAUACCGGCGCUCAACUGACGCUCAUGCACGAAAGUGUGGGUAUCGAACAGGAUUAGAUACCCGGGUAGUC
Molecule: ribosomal RNA, 459 nt
Filed under: uncultured bacterium
Lineage: Bacteria
Description: partial 16S ribosomal RNA
Rfam family: Bacterial small subunit ribosomal RNA
Source: RNAcentral